GGAGGAUCAGAAANUAAAGAGGAUUACCUUAGUAAUGGNGAAUGNAGAGGGACAAGCUCAGCAUGGAAAUUGGGGUCUCUGGCCUUGAAUUGUGGGCUNUAAAUGUGCUGCCAAUGGAGGCGUGGAUGUAAGCCUCUUGGAAAAGAGCAUCAAUGAGGGUGAUAGUCCCGUUUGUCAUNUGCAGUCCCCUGUGCACGGUGUACCUGUUUAAAGUCACGUUCCUUGGGANUGGAGCGCAAAUUUGGUGGUAAAUUUCAUNUAAAGCUAAAUAUUAGCUUGAGACCGAUAGCAAACAAGUACCAUGAGGGAAAGGUAAAAAGGACUUUGAAAAGAGAGUUAAAAGUGCCUGAAAUGGCUGAAAGGGAAGUGAAUGGAANUAGCGNGUCUUGGUGAGAUUGUUGCACACGNUAUUGAAGGCUCAUUUNUUCANUGCAAUUGUUGUUGUGAGUUNUGAUAU
This 457-nucleotide ribosomal RNA is filed under the name Apicoporus sp. AR-2015. Its description in RNAcentral is "partial large subunit ribosomal RNA". It matches the Rfam family "Eukaryotic large subunit ribosomal RNA", at positions 52 to 514 of the family's 3401-position model. Lineage: Eukaryota; Dinophyceae; Gymnodiniales; Gymnodiniaceae. The record is from RNAcentral.